ACCCAGCCGUAACCCACAAUUAAAACACUAAUUGUUCGCCAAACAACUACGAGUAGUAACUUAAAACUUAAAAGACUUGACGGUACUUCACCACAGCCUAGAGGGGCCUGUCUAAUAACCGACAACCCACGAUUAACCCCGCCCCUUCUCGCCAACAGUCUAUAUACCACCGUCGCAAGCUUACCCCGUAAGCGAUACAAAGUGAGCUACAAAGUUUUACACUAAAACGACAGGUCGAGGUGUAACCUAUGAAGGGGACAAAGAUGGGCUACAUUCUCUCACUUAGAGAACACGAAUUUCACUAUGAAUAUAGUGACUGAAGGAGGAUUUAGCAGUAAGMUAAGAAUAAAAUACCAAGGUAACAUAACGCAAUGAAGU
RNAcentral lists this ribosomal RNA (378 nucleotides) under Vipera aspis (aspic viper). RNAcentral's name for it is "partial 12S ribosomal RNA". Lineage: Eukaryota; Metazoa; Chordata; Lepidosauria; Squamata; Viperidae. The record is from RNAcentral.